GCGGGUAUAGUUCAGGGGUAGAAUAUCUCCUUGCCAAGGAGGAUGUCGCGCGUUCGAAUCGCGUUACCCGCU
Molecule: transfer RNA, 72 nt
Filed under: Oedocladium carolinianum
Lineage: Eukaryota; Viridiplantae; Chlorophyta; Chlorophyceae; Oedogoniales; Oedogoniaceae
Also listed under: 4 other names
Description: tRNA-Gly
Rfam family: tRNA
About the family: Transfer RNA (tRNA) molecules are approximately 80 nucleotides in length. Their secondary structure includes four short double-helical elements and three loops (D, anti-codon, and T loops).
Source: RNAcentral